RNAcentral lists this transfer RNA (70 nucleotides) under Micronycteris hirsuta. Its description in RNAcentral is "tRNA-His". It matches the Rfam family "tRNA". Rfam says of the family: Transfer RNA (tRNA) molecules are approximately 80 nucleotides in length. Lineage: Eukaryota; Metazoa; Chordata; Mammalia; Chiroptera; Phyllostomidae. The record is from RNAcentral.
GUAAAUAUAGUUUAACACAAAACACUAGAUUGUGAAUCUAGCAACAGAGGCUCAAACCUUCUUAUUUACC